Long non-coding RNA from Cygnus olor (mute swan), 2884 nucleotides. RefSeq lists it as uncharacterized. The transcript is spliced from 3 exons. Lineage: Eukaryota; Metazoa; Chordata; Aves; Anseriformes; Anatidae. The record is from RefSeq and is a predicted model, not a curated record.
GCUGGGUUGUGAGGGAUUUUGAGGAACCCAGUCCAGAGCAAUGAGGUUCUCAGAGAAAUAAAUGCAUAAAUUAAAAUCUUUUCUUAUCUCCUUGAGCAUGCGGAAGGUAAAUGGAAGAUGAAGGACAAAGCUAUUCCCGUGUGUUAUAAAAAAAACUGUAUGUAGCAGAAGUAUGAACUCAAAGCUUUUCUGGAGUUUAGAUAAUACUUUAUAUGUGCGUUAUCUUGAAUCUCAGGAAUUGGUGGUGAGAUUGUCAGGAAAUCUUAUGCAAGGCCAGAGGCUAAGGUCUAAAGGUCCUGGGGGGUGAGAAACAGGAGCCUUACGUUUCUUGUCAUUAAUCUGUCAUUCUCUUAACCUCUGUAAAGUAGAAGGAGGAUAAUACUACCAAGUUAUCUUGUUCUGAAUGUGGAAAACAAGUAUGUAGUGGUUACCUAUGGUCAAGCAAAUUUUCUGCCUUCAGUAGUGGAAAAAUCCCAAUUCAUUUCUUCUGACUCUUUUCACCUGACUGUUCCUGAUGGUUUCAUCUACCAAUAUGCCUAACACUAAGCAGGCUUUGUAGUAGUUAUGACCUGUAGUCAUACUUCAUUAAAACGGAAAACUAUGUGUAUUUAAGUUAUUUGUACUGUUGCUUUAUAGAAUCUAAGGCUGACUAAAUGAGUUAGAUGAUAAACCUGCUCUCCAUAGGUUAGAUCAAUCCCCAUUAACAGGAACAAUUAGUGCCUACACAUAGAAACUUGAGUAAGUCACCAGGUAAGUGCCUUCAGACUGGUAGUAAUUGAUUGCCAACAGCAGCGGAUUUGGGAUGCUUAUUAUGCAGGUCAGCUGUGUAUCUCCCUGUAGGCAGAGCUGCCUGCACACAUCAUUUGGAAGUAGUUUAUAAGCCACCAGUGCUACGUAAGCCACACUUGAGGAGGCUGUGCUUUAGUGAAUGUAUUUUGUCUGUACUACAAACACAGCUGUCAGCAUUUGGGGGCUGUAAGUAAAAACAACUGGUGUAUGUGUAGCAUGCAGUUCUUAAUUUGAAAGGGAAACUUUUUUUUUCUUCUCUGAUGUAAUGACUGGUGAAGAAUUAUAUGGUUGUUAAAGUAAUUUCUGAAAGCUAGAAGUCUAUAUCCUGUACAUAUUACCUACUCUGCCACACCAGUCUGCACAACGUGAGAAAAUUCAAGUUCAGAGGUAUUCCUCAUCAGACCUAGAAUUUCCAAUUAGUUUCCUGUUUCAGUAUUCCCACGAGCCAACUAAGACCUCAGUCUGGUCCUGCUGCUUUGACAUGCUAAUAUGCUUAAAGGACUGACACUGCAGAAGUUGGAGGCCUUAAGUAAGUAACAGAUGGGGGAGGUUCCAGCCAUCUGUGAAUGAGCUUUAUUAUAGAUGCAUCAUAGAAACAAGGGCUAGAAGAGGCUUCAAGAAAUCCUGUAGUCCAAACCACUACGUUCAGUGAGGCUCGUUCAGAUAACUGGAGCGUUAUAAUUGUCAGCACCCGACACGGGCAUGCUGUGUGCUACAGGAAGCUGCUUUCAGCUGCUGCUGUGGCACUGAUGGAAGCUGCUGGGCCCCCAGGCUGACCCGGCACCUCCCUACUGAAAUGAAGCUGAAACCUCGUCUUCACGUCUUCAUUCACAGCUCCCUUGGGGGAGAGGGAAAGAAAAUCUGCACUGGUUUUAACAGCUGGCACUGAAUAGAGGAGAGGGUUAUAAAUAAAUGUAAAUGAAGAAUGAGGGCAUGCGACUAGAGCCAGGAAGGUCACGUUUUGGUGUGCCAACAGAUGAGCAAUGCUGAGUGGCAUUUGAGAAAAUGUCACUCUGAAUGUGUAGACAUGAUGAUGAUGUCAAAAGCAGCUCAUUUGAAUUGGGAUUCGGGAGGAUCCUCUAUUUAAAUCCUGUCUGAGCUACUGUCAGGCUGCAUGACCUUCUGGAGCUCCAUGGGUCAAAUGGGUCUUUCCUGCAACUAAAUCGACUACAAUGGAAUUAUUCUGGGAGUGAACUUGAUUUCUCAGACAUCAGUCAACACAGCUGGUUCACUGGGUAGCAGAAAGAAAAAAAACAUAGAUGUCACUGGAAAACAUGCAUCUGAACGGAGCCUUUUAGUGCUCACAAAACUAGAACAGAACCGCACAACUGUUUCCUAAAAUGCAUAAAUAAUUGUUGAUGGUGGUUUAUUGGCAAUAAACUCUGUGAAGGUAACUUAAGGCUUUUUUUCCAAGGUAAUUAGUAGUGUCAUUUUCUUUUUCAAAAGAAAUGUGAUUAUUAUGUAUGUUGUUUAUAACUUUAAAGAUGAUUGAUGUGUCUUUAAAUAUUCUGGCAUAGAUUUUUUUUUUCUUUAAAAAGACUUAUAAUUGACUCAGGAAUACAGCACAGGGCUGCAGAAAGGUAAGCUUCUUCCAUUGAAAAUGCUUUUGGAGUCAGAUUAAAAAAUAAUGGUGGUAAUUAAUGAAAGAAUUUUUACUAAAAGUAGUUAAACAACAUAAGCAGAGGAUAAAACUAUCUGUAAAAUGGAAACAGGGAUUGCUUCUAAAUUGGAAGCUUUCUGCUUCUUCAGAUGGAAGCUUUUAGAAACCACAAAUUUAUGGAUUUGGGGGUAGAAAUAUCAAGUGAUUUGCCUCUUUGUGGCAAAUGGAGUGAGGGACUGGUGUUCUCUAACUGAUGUUUAACUCCACUAUUUACGUUUAAUCAUAAAAGUAGUGGAAAUUCCAAGUGCUAUUUCUCCUUGUUUCACCAGGACCUCUACAAAGUUAGGAAUGCACUUCUUCAGAUUUGAAAUAAUGAAGUUGGCUUGUGAUCAUGUUUUCAAGGCUAGCCGAAAGGAAACUAAAUGCUGAUGUCUGAGCACCUGUGUCACUAGGAGAACUUCGGGGAGUUUAGAGAGUGUAAAAUUGCCCUGGACA